This 205-nucleotide unclassified non-coding RNA is filed under the name Hevea brasiliensis (rubber tree). Lineage: Eukaryota; Viridiplantae; Streptophyta; Magnoliopsida; Malpighiales; Euphorbiaceae. The record is from RNAcentral.
GGCUAGCUCCAUUCACAUGAAAGUAAAACUGAUCUGCUGUAGAGGGAUUCUUUCUUCUUUGGCUUAUUCAAUUAUUAUGUCAAAUGGCAUAUAUUCUUUCUUUUUCUCUCUUUUUUUUGUAAGUUUUCACUAGCCAUUUGCUGUCACUCAAAUACUCUAAGUCUCAACUUUCUCUCAAGUCUUAAGUCUCAGCCAUUUUCUCUUA